GAGGCCAGAAAAGAAGACAUGCCAGCUCUAAGAACUGGAGUUAGAGGGAGUUGUGAACCACCAUGUUGAGUGCUAGAAUUCAAGUUCAGAUUCUCCUCAAGAGCAGCCAGAGCUCUUGAGUGCUGAGCUGUCUCCCCAGCACCUACUCAUUUUUAAGUGUUCAAUAGGUGGCAUAAGGGACACUCUCAUUGUUGUGAAUCCAUCUGCAACACCUAUUUACUGACCAUUUUUCUCGUCUUAAAACUAAAUCUCUCCACCAAAUGAAAAUUCUAAUUCCUGGUUCCUUCUGCACCAACUACCAUUCUCCAUCAAUUUGAUGUUCUAGCUACAUCAUCAAAAUGGAACUUUCUGCUACUUGUCCUUUUGUAAUUGCUUCCUUCUCUUUUUAAUGUCUUCAGGAUAUAUCCUAUUGUAGACUACAUGAAAUUUCCCUUCUUUGUGUGUUUCACUUUGCUUACUGAACCAUCCGUGGACAUUUGGAUUGCUUCCAACUUGGGCUAUUAUGAAUAACACUAUCCACAGGGAUAUACAAAUACCCAUAGUUGUCUCUUGUUUCAUGCUGAGGUGCACAGAAGUCUUGGGGUUUCAAUAUGGAAGAUUCUGGGUCAUUUGAGCAUCCUUAUUGAAAGCACUAACUUCACUUUGUUAUCACUGUCUAACGCGGUGGCUUCAGCAGAGGUGGGAGGGGCUUUGCAUUUCAUGAAGGAAGACUGCUGGUUGGGGGAAAUCAUCAUCUUUGGGAAGUAUUUAUAGAAAUUGAGUUGAAUUUAAAUUUUUUUCAUUUAAAAUACAUAAAGGGAAGAAAUUUAUGGUCUUUGAGGUUGCAAAAGCGCUGUCUACCCUCUGCUUCAGCGGGCUCAUUGCUUAGGGCACUUUCUAGGUGACUAUGCUUUCCUAUCCAGUCAAUGUCACUCUCUGUAGCCUGCCCGAUGCUUAGUAGUGUGACCGAGACUGUCGUUGAGUUGGCCAGCUGAUUCUGAAUAAAUGAAUUGGUAAGUCAAUGAAUGAGUACAGGGGGAGACAGAGGCCAUAUACCUUGAGCUUGAGCCAGUGUAAUACAGCUUACUGAUUUGCCUUCAAGAAUAAGUAAAGGACAUUUCCCUAAGGAAGGGAGCCAUGCUUCCUCAGUUUCUCAGUACUGGGGAGAAGGCACCUCAAGGUGUCAGGACAGCAAAUUUGUUUCUUGUCUCUCUGCCUUGAUACACAAGGACAACAGAAACGCAAUUCUUACUUCCUCUCCCUGGGGACUUUUGAAGCUGCUUCGAAUGGAAUAUUCCGAGCUCUUUAAUCUCUUAGGAAGAAAGGAGUUUUAUGAGGAUAAUCACACACUGUCCUUGGGACAUCAGCACCUGCAUGGUACCCAUGGCUAGUGGGGGCAUUGGUUUUGAAGAGUGCUUUUUGCUGUUGUCCUUUUUUAUUUACCAGGCAAGUGUUGCAUUUGUGCAGAUCUGUAUUCCUAGCUGGAACAAGGUAUUUAUAAACAAAGUUCUCUAACACCAUCAUGACUGGGGUGAUAGUGAUGGUGGUUCAUAGUCAGAGCAGCAGCCAAAAUGCAUUCCUAUUACUAAAUUUCAGAUUCUAUGCUCAGUGCUUUCCCCCACCCCACCCCCAGCUCUCAUGACACCAUAAGGCUGGUGUUAUCAAAGAGUCAACUGUAAAGACGGGACACUGAGGUCCAGAGAGGUCACAUGAUUGCAGCUACAUCAUUUAGUGGAUAAAAAGCAGAGCUUUACAGAAAUGAUUGCCUUGUGGUACCUGAGGAUAAUAUUCUCCCUAAUAAAAGUGUAAGUUGAGUUCUAAUCAACUAUCAGAAAAAGGGGUGGGUUUCCAGUGGAUCGUAUUUAAGAGGGAGCUUUAGUGAAGGGAAGCAUUGGUUGACCUUGAAGGGUUAGAGGACUGUGGAUUGAUGGGGAGAUGGUAAGCUGUGAGUGGCAGUAUCCUUUCAAGAUUCAUAUGUAACUGGGUAGAGUGAAGGGCAAAUAGUGGGUAACAAAGGACAGCAUGUGCAGAAAGAGAGGGUGGGACUAAAUAAUGGAGAAUGUAAGUGCUACUUUUCUGCCACCACCGAUGGCCAAAGGGCACAUUUGGAAAAUGGUGACUGGAAUUAGGAGCUAAGCCCAUAGACAGAAAGUAUGACAGUGACUCUUCUUAAAGGAGAAGACCCCGAUGCUUCCCUCUAGUUCUCUGUUAUCAAAGGAACAAAUGAAGAAACCCAUCAGUCACCAUUUGGUAAUAACAGAUGACAGAAUGUGAAUUCCUGACUUUGGAAUGUGCAUCCCCAGAGCCCUGGAUCGGCUCAGAUAUGAUUGAAGACUCUAUCAGAGGAAUGAGAGAGGAUCAUGGCUUCCUGUAGGCAGAUAGAGGGUUUGGCUGUCCACUAAAGGUCUGAUUGAUGGAUGGGACAGAGGGAUUACCAAGGAACAAUCUAGGUAGUGUGUACAAGGAGCCUGAAGUCAAAUUAUCAGCAUAGUAGUUUUCUUCAGGAAGUUCUUUGGAAUGUUCUUUUUUGUGCCUCCACCUUUACCCAUGGUGCUUGAUGGAGAUCUUUCUUGAUACUCGUCUCAUAGAUACAUUUCUCCAAUUUUCUUCUUCACCAUGCAUCUCUGGCUACUCCUUGAGGGUCUGUGGAUUUGUGUAAGGUCCACCUCAAUCUAGUCUGACCUUAUUUUCACUAAAAUAACAACACGUGCAAAAUUCUUUCCAAAUAAUACAGCAUUCUAAGAUUCUAGGUGGUGAAUUGUUUUCAUUCUGGGAUGCUCGCUGACUUAGUCCACACUAUAUAAGCAAGAGCCAGAGGAAGACGUGUGGGUACAAGGUCUUAGAGAUGGUUUGGAUGAUUUGCUCAGCAGAGAGAACUCAGCUGGGUGAGUGUGAACACGGGGCUCUUGCUCAAGAGCCUGCUGGAGACCUAACCAUCUGGGAUCUGAAUGAUGUAUCUGAGUUUUACCCCCUGAGGAAUCUGGAGUCUGUGGCAGAGAGUGACUGACAAUGGGGGCUAAGACAAUGGGGGGAGGGGUAAGGGGGAGUAGUGAUAGCCUAGGUCAGUUGGAAAGAGCUCAUGACUUAGGUGACUAUGGUCUGAGUUAGGGUGGAACAGUUGUUCUGGGGAAGAGAAGGGGACAUUUUAAAAAUUUGUAUUUGCUUUUAUUUUAUGUGUAUGAAUGUUUGGCCUGCAUGCAUGUAUGUGUAUGUGCCCUGUGUACAUGUCUGAUGUCCACAGAAGUCAGGAGACACUGUUGGAUCCCAUGGAAGUAGAGCUAUGGACAGUUGUGAGCUGCCCUGUGGGUGCUGGGAACCAAACCUGGGCCCUUUGCCAGAGCAGCAAAUGCUUUUAACCACUUAUCUCAUCAGGCCGGAUGGAUGUAUUUUAAGAGAAAGACAGUAGCAGACCUGGUGAGAGAUGGGUUGUGGCAAUAAGGGAGAAUGAACUUUUGAACUUGGGUGAAUCUAAUGCUGAAAGGGGAAGAGAAACAUUUAUGGAGAACAACAGUUCUUCCUCGGACAGGAUGAGCUGGGGCUGUUUCUGGGAAGGCAAACUGUAGACAUCCAUCAGCCUGCUGGAAACUCACUGCUGCAGCUUGCUGGCUCCUUCGGGUGCUGUUGCAGGAAAUCUGAAGCAAUGGAUACUGAAGUGUGAGUAGUCCCUGCUUUUUUGAGGGGGUCAGAUUCUCAAGAGUUUGUGUAAAUGUCGCCAUAGUCUAGAUUCCUUGUGGUUGUCAUGUGUCAUACCAGAAGCCAACAUAGCAGAAGGAUCUUUCUGGAACACAAACCUGAGGAUAUCUCAGGGUACACUGUCCUAUGAUGUGCCCUCAGGGAGUGGUCUUCACUGAUCUCAUGGUAGAAUGCUGCUCAAUUGAGCUUCCUGACAAGGUUGCUCAAAACCCAGAACAUGUCUUAGAUUAUACUCACUUCAACUUCUCUGAUCCUUCUACAGUAUGAAGAACAUGCCUGCAUGCCUGAACAUGCACCCCCCCCCCACACACACAUGUGCACAUGCAUGCAUGUACUCAUACAUGUGUACCUACACACACACACACAUGAGUGCAGACUCACAAUCUACCCCCUCAAUGUGAAGAAUGGGCCCAAUGUCCCCUCUCAUGUUUAUAAUUUGUACCUGACACUUCUCUUUCCUGGAAUCAUAUUUAUAAUUUGUACCUGACACUUCUCUUUCCUGGAAUCUCUUCUUUGCUUCCAUUUCCCUAGUCUUUCAACUUCCCAGUUCAACACCAAAUGAUCUGUAACACUCCAAGUAAAAUGUGUUUAUUGAGAAGCCAUUUCCCCAAACCUGUUUCCUCUCCAAGAACUGGGGCAUCCAUAUACCACUAUCUUCUCCUAGAAAGCUGGCCAUGUGAUAGGUAUAAAGGAGCCAUCCACUUCCCAAGACUGCAUGGGAAGGAGAUGAAGAAAGAGAAAUGGAUGGCUGGGUGGUGCUAUGUACACCGUGAGAAUUCAGCUGCAAGACCACACUUCCAGCAGGAGAGGUGUCACAAUGCCUGCUCACCCUUCCUCAACUUCUCUGAUCUCUCAACAACAAACCAACUUAGGCUUCUACCAGAGUUUGUCCCAGGGAACCAAUGAGUUUUGGUCUUACUUCCAGAGCAUGAGGGGCCCUAAAAUAGCUGUACUGUCUGAGGCCAGCAUGAAUGACGAAUGGACGGCAGGUUCCCAGUGGCUGCAUAGAUGGAGACUCCUUCAGUUAACCUUCCCCAGUUGAGGGAUUCUCUGCAGGUGUCAACACAGCCAGUGAUCCACAAAGAGGGGAGACUUGAACAGACAUCUUUUUACUCCAGGUAGGCAUCAGUGACAGACCAGAGCAGAGAUUCCACUCAAAUCUGUCCUGGUGAAUCUACUAGUGAUUCGGAAGCAGGGAUGACUGAGAGAGCCCUACCUCUUACCACAGAAAGGCGCAACUGAAGCUGGUUGGUUUAAUCACCAGCAAUCAUUUACUGCUUUAAAAGCUUGGAAAAGGGACUUGUGAAUCUUGACACUCGUAUGAACAUUUUAAUCCUUUCAGGAUUCAGGAGGCUCAUUGUCUUAUGAGCUGCCCUCCGGGAGAGACCAUUUGAACACAGGAAAUAAUAUUGCCAUGACCAUUGAGGAAAGAGAAACAAACUGGACUGUAAUUUGGCCAAGACCUCAGAGCUCCACAGCAUAGAUGACAGCUCAGAUUGCUUCGAUUGUCCUGGUAAGAUUUACCCGGAGUCCAAUUCACACUGGUUUUGCUGGUAGUCUUGAAUUAGAAUGAGAUACUAUUCUGGUGACCCCUUGGUAGCUUCAUACUUCCCGUGGUCUAGCGAUUUCUCCGUAGAAUCCAAAUGACACCACCAGCCCCUGCUUCACAGCUUUUCUCGGGAGAUAAGUUUAAAUCAGCUUAUCAUAUCCGCUUAUGCACCGAGGCGCGAGACAUCUCAGCAAGCCUGCGUUUCUGCUUCGGGGCCCCACGGGCUACUGCAGAUCAGUGACCUACAGGAACCACAUGACUUCAGUUCCCUUUGAGAGAAGUGACAACAGGUGACUUCACGCACCAGAUUUUGCAUUCGUGAAGAGAGACAAAGAUUUAAUAAAUGCUUUCCGUAGCAUUUCAUAGUAUAGCCUGCUGAAGUGGCCCAAUGGGGCUUGAUGGUGCGGUCACAUUCAAGGGGAAGUUGAAUGGGAGACACAGAAGCAAAGGGGUAGAGAGGGAAGCGCACAGGGCUGGGCGGAGGACAGUGGUCCUGGAGAGUGUGAGGCGAAGCACCCCUAUUGAUGAUUUUACCUUAGGUUUUGGGAAUCAGAAUAAAUUAUCAUAUGCUAUUACUAUGCAGGAUGAAAUGAUCUCAUUUUGACUAGAGCAAUCUUCCUUGAUUAGGUUCAGCCACUCUGCUUCAUUUCCAGAUGUAUUGGGAAAUAAAAGUUUUCUUUCUCCUGAGACAUAAAAGCUUAUGCUCUCGGGAAACAGUAAUCUGAUUUUUCCUUAAUUUAAAAAAAUGGUAUGUAUUCUGUAUUUCCAUUUUAUAACUGUAUCUUUUUUAUCAAUGUCAAAAUUAGAAAAAAUAUGUUAUUGGAAAACGUAGGGAAUAUGUAGGAAAAAAAUCAUGACUCCUAUCCUUAGAGUAUUUCUAUUUUGCAUAUGGAAUUAAAAUGUCAUUUUAAUAAAUUGGGGUCUAAGUAUGCAUUAAGUUUCUACCCCUCUUUUAAAAAUUGACCACGUUAUCAUAUACAUUUUUAUUUGACGAUUCCAUUCUCGUUAUUAACUUGUUUAAAUGUCUCCCUCUGAUUGUGCAUAAAGGUCAUUUGUCACUUUUGCUAUUGGAAGAAUGUUAUAAUGCUAAGUUUAGGAAAUGAAUCUCUGCAUUUUUCUGUGAUUAAUUUUGUAGGUCAGAGUCCCAUAGAUAGACUAAGAAUAUUUCUUUAAUUAUGUUUUAUGGUUCCUAUUGCACAUAUAAAAAUGACUAUGAAUAUUUCUUUAAUGAUGUUUUAUGGUUCCUCUUGCACUGGUUCACACUUUUAUCCAUUUGUAGGUUUUUUGUUAUUGUUGUUGUUUUGUUUUUUGCUUUUUUGUAUUGAGCAACAUUUAUAUGUACUAGGCAGGGCUGGAUCAGAGUUAGAUUUGAGCAAGCCCUGCAGAGGAGGAUACAGAGAGUGGGCAUGUAAACAAAUGAUUCCAAUUGGAAUGUCAGCCCAACCUUUCAUUGCUGAACUGUUUGCUGUGUAUAGAUUCAGGGACUGAGUAAGUCACUGCUUUCAGUUGUGUACCCACCAAGGAGGCCACCAAGCUCCAGGGCACACUUCCAAGGUGGUGAUGACACAGGUGGUACUGCUUGUACUAAUGGGGUCACAAAACAAAAGUCAUGAGCCUUGGAAAAAGGGGUGGUGGUGGUAGGGAGGGGAAGGCGAUAAGAGAGAGUGUUGGAGAGAGUAAUCGAUAUAUUUUAUACAAUAACAGUAAUUUUUAAAAUGGGGAGUGGAGGUGGGGGAUGGGAAGGGUAUAGCCUGUUCCUUUCCUUAUUGUAACGAGUCCUGCAGAAGAUAAGUGACAGUCAGUAAUAUCUACCAGGGCCAGUUAGUGGAGCCUCACUGAGGGAGAGAUUGUGAAGCUGAGAUUUUAAGGAUGAAAGGCUUGCUCUAUAUGAAAUGAGGAAAAGAACAUUCCAAAGAGAGAAGAGCAGCAAGGGGAGUGCAGAGGCACUGGGGGCGGGGCAGAGCUUGGAUUGUUCUAGGAACUGUGGGUGUGUAGGGAAAAAGAGUGAAGCAGGAACUGUGCAUCGCCAUGCACGACUGUGUGAGAGGUGUGUGUGCAUGUGUGAGCAUGUGUGCACAUGUACUGUGACUGUGUACAUGUGUGUGUGUGCCUGCAUGCAUUCGUGUAUGUGUGUUUGUGUGUGUGUGUGUGUGUGUGUGUGUGUGUGUGUGUGGUGUGCUCAUCUACAUGUAGAGGCUAAAGAUUAACCUUGGGGGUGGUUCCUCAGGAAUCCUCUACUUGUUUUCUGAGACAAGGUCUCUUGUUUGGUCCAUAAGUAAACUAGUUUGGCUGGUCAUGGAGCCACUGGGAUCCAACUGUCUCUCAUUUCCUAGCACUGGGAUUAUAGGGUCAUGAUGCCAUGCCUGGCUUUUGGAGUAGAUUCUGGGGACUGAACUCAGGUCCUGUUGCUUGCAUGGCUGAGACUUUACGGAUAGGCACAUCUGCAGCUUAGGGGGCUGGGCAUGUUUUAGGUUAGUGCAAUAAGAAUCCAAUGGAGAACCAGGAUUUAAAUCUCAUGCUUAAGAAGGUUAGCCCAGUGGGGGUGUUAGAUAUGGAGAUAUAAUUAUUAGGAGGCUUAUAAGCAUCAAAGUCUCUAUGAACAGCCACCAUGUGCUUGGGUGUUGGCUAAAGACCAUUGACAUCAGCUGCCACUUGGGCAGCACUGAUGCUUAGUUGUAGAAAGCCUUGAGGGAUAUUUAUAUCCCUAAAUAUGUAAUAUAUAUAUAUAUAUAUAUAUAUAUAUAUUAUAUAUGCACAUAUAUAUAUACAUACAUAGACACACACACACACACACACAUAUAUAUAUUACAUGGAAGUUAUUUCGUUUAUCAUUAUUUAAAAUAUAUUAGCCAUGUAUUACAUUUAAAAUAUUCUAGCCUUAGAUCUGAAGGAAUUUGAACUAAAUAGACCAGAGUAGCAUUUUAUUCUAUCGAGAUGAUAAGAGCAAUAUGUAUAUAAUACACAAACAAGUAAUAAGCAAUCAAGAUGUGUUUCUUGGCAUGGUUAUACCCAAACUUAUAUUGACUGACCUUUACGUUGUCUUCACUAUUCUAAGUAAUAUAGGAAGGAAGCUCCAGCUAUCUAGGUUUUGUGGAUCUAUUCUGAUAGAAAGGAUGGCUUUCCAAGAAUUGGUUACCAAACCAAACUCAGCAUAGUGGUGUACCAAAUGAAACACUCACCACGAAUGUACACAGGCUACCCACUGUCUUUGUUAACCCAGGCUAUUAUCCUGCUCUAGAUCUUGGUCUAGCCACUACUUGAAUAUGUGUUCAUUGGCAUCUCUUUGUUUACUUGGGCAUUACAUGUCUCUAUUGGUUAAGAAUUCACCUUUUGUCCCCUGCUGCUGCUGCUGCAAUAGCAAAAUCUAGAACAGUGCCUGGAGAUUGGUGCUCAUUGUCCAUUUGCUUUUUAUUAAAAACAUCCACUUUUUACUAAUCAUUUCUUUCAAGACUGGGUUAGUACCAUGGAUUGCCAGAGUGAUUGGCUUUUCUGGACAUGUAUUGAUAGUUCAUUAUUUUUUAUAAUAACCUUCUCUUUGAAACUUCAAGUAUAGUUUCUUUGGCAGUUUUUCAUUACAUCUCAUUCAUGAUUAACAUUUUCUUUUGCAUUGCAGAUUCUUUAAAAACUUAUUUAAAAUAUUUCAGUCAUUUUUUAUGAUUUCUGGCUUGGAAUUGGAUGCUUAAAAAUCUUCCUUAGCUAAAUAAAUGUACCCAUAGUUUUUUUGUCUCUUAAUAAAUUUAGCAAUAAACUGUUGUCACACACUCAGAAUGGGCUCUGCUUCCUGUCUGUUCAAGAUUGGGAUUCCUAUCUGUUGCAAGUGUCUGUUUGAAAUUGUGUGUGUGUGUGUGUGUGUGUGCAUGGCUAUGGGCUAUGGCACAGUUGAGGAGGGUAAGAAAGACAGCCUUGGAUGUUGGUCCUUGCCUUUCAUCUUGGAGACAGGUUCUCUUGUUGCUCAUGGCAAGCCAGAUCAACUGUGAGCUUCUGGGAGAUCUCCCUGCUUUUUUUCCUGCCACCCCCAAUGUGGGAGCCUGCUCUGGUACUAGAGGUGUGUGCUAACAGCUUUGUAUGUGUGCUGGGAAUCUGAACCCAGGAACGUAUUGCUAGCCAUCUUUCCAGCCCUCAUUUUGGGAUUUUGAAUCUAUUAUAAGUAAAAUACUUUAUUGUAGUUUCUUAAAGGGAUUUUGUAGUUUUCAAAUUUUCUCUGGAUCUAAAAGGGUUUGCCUGAGGAUUUUUUGAAAAUGAAGUUGAUGAUUGAGUAGGGCCAGGAGGUUUGGGUUGGAAAGCUAGUCACACUCUGUGUGUGUGUGUGUGUGUGUGUGUGUGUGUGUGUGUGUGUGUAUACUGACAAGUUCUCUAACAUCAAACUUCCACUCCAGUCCUAAGUGUUAGCCUUCCCAGUGAGCCAUCAGCUCGGGCUUCAUUGCUGGCAUAUAGGGAGCGCCUGUUUUGAGAGGUGUGGGUGUGCAUGAUGCACUGUGCAAACAGUCUUAUACGAGUUCUCAGAUGAUUGACAGAUGCGGUACUUUCUAGUGACUGUAUCCUUGCAUAUUUUUCCUGUAUCUCAUCCCCAUGUUUGCCUGUGUCUUUGUUUUUCUCUUUGAUUAGAUUAAUUCAUGGCUUAUCUCCUUUAUUGUCUUUUCCUCAAAGAACCAGCCUUUAGAUUUAUUUAUUAAUUCUGAUGUUUCCAUGCUCAUUAAUGAGCUGAUUUCCUCUUUGAUUUUUAUUUUGCCCUCCAUUCUGCCUCAUUCUCCUCUACAUUUUCUUCUAAGUUUACAUACUCAUUUCUUGACUUUAUUUAGUUCUUGCUCGGUGACUCAAACAUUUAAGGCUCUGAAAUUUCGGUUGGGUGUGUGUUGGCCAAUCUUCAUGUAUUUGAUGGGUGUUGCUCUCAGUAGUGCAGUUCUCUAAAAUUCUGUAAUUGCUAUUUUGGUUUUAUUUUAUUUUAUUUUAUUUUUUUGACUGGAGAACUAUUUCCAAGCUGCUGGAAUAAUUAUUUUGUUCUACUUUUGAAAUUAAUUUCUAGUUUCUUAUAGUGUGAGAGGAGGCUGUAAUCUAUAUUAUUAAUUUCCUUUUUUUGGAAAUUUAAUGGGCUUUUCUUGGUGGUUGCAUAUUGGCUGAUUAUAUAACUGUUUAGUGGGCAUUUGUAACGGCACUCAUGUAUUUAUUUGCAGCAUGUAAAGCAUGGAUAAAGCUUUCACAUCGUUUUUUAAUAAUAUUAAUCACAUUCGCUAAUUCUUCUUAUAAUAGUGAACAGUCUUUGCUAUUAUUUCUUUCAUUCCCAUAUCUUGAAUUUACAAUAGAUUCAAUCAUGCCCUCUCUAUUCUUUGCUUUCUUCAGAUAGAUUAUCACUAUAUAACCCAGGCUUGACCCAACUCUGUUCUCCUGCCUCUACUUCCCAAGCGCUGGAAUCGCAGAUAGAAACUAUCACACUUAGUUUGCAACAGUUUCUUCUUUAUAAUAAUGAUGCUGUAUAACUCUGACUAUGAAUAUUUUGAUAUUUAUACAUUUCUCCUUGAUUUUGCCAUUUGUCAAUUUGAAAGAGACCUCCUUAAAAAUACAACUUACUGUACUUGUGUUUAUAGAAUCCCAUUUAUUAACCCAGAGACUCAUUUCUGCCUUCAUAUUAUGUGAUAAUUUUCUGCUUUGGGUUUUGUCUUUAUCUCUCUUUCAUCUUUGGGUGUGCUCAUGUUUGGGUGUGGAGAGAGAUGCACAUGCCCUCAGGUGAGCACGCUCACGGGAGCCAGAGGCUGGUGUUGUAUGUCUUCCUUAGUGACUCUCCAUCUUAAUUUUUGGGAGAACAUCUUUCAGGGAACCUGGAGCUCACCAAUUCAGCUAAUUUGGCUGGCCAGCAAGCCCUAGGGAUCCCUUGGUUUCUACAUCUUAACCCUAGGAUUACAGAUGCACACUGCCGAAAACAGCUGGUGAGCUGGUGUGUGUGCGUGCUUGCGUGCGUGCGUGCGUGUGCGUGCGUGCUUGCGUGCGUGCGUGCGUGUGCGUGCGUGCGUGCGUGCGUGCGUGCGUGCGUGCGUGUGUGUGUGUGUGUGUGUGUGUGUGUGCGCGUGCUUGCGUGCGUGCGUGCGUGCGUGUGUGUGUGUGUGUGCGUGCGCGCGCGCGUGUACAUGGUUUACAGGGGUUUGAACUUGGCUCUCAUGCUGCAGUGAGCACUUUGCUGAUGGAGCCACCUUGUCAGCCUUGUUUUACACCUUGGAGUUGGAGUUCAGAUCCUCUUCUUGGUAAACAUUAUGCAUGUUUUUUUUUCAUUAGCCUGGAGUUCAUUUUGAAAUUUUUUUCCUGUUGAGUUUAUAGUAUCUAUAUGUGAUGAUUAAUCUACAUUUGGCUGGAUUCGGAAGACUCAGGAUUGGGAUUACCAGUGAGGGUGUAACCAGGGAAGUGUAACUGAGUUAGAAGAUCCACUAUGAGUACAAAUGGUACCAGCAAUGGGCUGGGCUCCUGGAUGCAAUAAAAAGGAGAAAAAUGACGAUUUUGGUUAUCUUCCUCUAUCUCUUUCCACUUUACUAUUUUUGAACCAGGCUCUCCCAUCCAACUUGUAUCUCAUUCUUUCCCAGGCUGGUUGGGUAGUGAAGCACUAGGAUCCUCCUGUCUCCACCCUGUAGCAGUGGAGUGAUGGAUAUGCACAUCCGUUCCUGGCUUAUUAUGGAGGUGCUGAGAUCUGAGUUCAGUUCCUCACAGAUGCUGUGCAACUUGUACAGUGAGCUCUCCAUCACUGAGCCGUGAAGCCUUACUGAGAGUGUCCUAUGUAAGUCCAUCAACAACCAUCCUUCAUUGAAGACCAUGGAAAUUUCCUCUUGAGAUAUCACUGACUGUAGUUUGUACAAUUCUCUAUUUUUUGGAGGACAGGCUAUACACUGCAAAUUUCUGAUUGAUUGAUUGAUUGAUUGAUUGACGGAUAGAUUGAUUUUUACCUCUAACAUUACUGAGGUUUUUAUCCAGCUACCAAACACUUCCAAAUUCCUCUAGAAUUCCAGGCUUGCUUUCCUUCUCUAUUGUUAGCUUUGGUCCUCAUGCAUUCUGCAAAGACUCAUUUCUUUCUCUCGCUUUCUUCAUUCUGUUAUUCCACUUUUUCAUCAUACUUUAGAUUUUUAUUUAACGUUUUCUGACUUUCUUGUUUCUUUGAGAGUUCAGAUGACUGCUGUCACACACAUCCCUUCCUGAUUUUCUGGAGUUCGUCUUCAUGAAACCUACAAUAUCAGAAAUGCAAACCUACAAUCUAUUUUUAAACAUCAUGGUUUUUGUUUUUGUUGUUUGUUUGUUUUUUCUUUUAGUUGUUUUUUUUUUUUUUUUGUUCCAGAGAUGUCAUAUGAGCAUCAUUUUGCAUUUUCAGCUUGUUUUUUUUAAUUGCCUUUUUAACUCAUUGUAAAAUGGAACUUCAUAUUUCAGAUCUGUUACUUAUUGUAAGCUCCUGUGGUUGAUUUUCCUUUGAUACACAGCUUGCUUUCUUGGUGCCAUCAAAUCUCCUAUAAAACCAGAGAUGAGGGCCAGCUUUGAGGUUUGCCUUCAGUUUUGAGUUUUCUAUUCCUUUGAGAGGCUAGGGAAGAAGAAAGAGUUGGCUCAUUGCCACAAAAAUGUUCUGUUUUAGUAGGCUCUACAAUAUUUUCUGUUCCCUCUCCCUCUCCCUCUCCCUCUCCCUCUCCCUCUCUCUGUAUGUGUGUGUCUUCUCUCUGUCUCUCUUUGUUUCUCUCUGUCUCUGUCUCUCUCUCUUCUCUGCAAUGAUUUCAUCCUGUCUUAAAAACCAGUGAUGUGAGCAUGUACCAUGUCUCAGGAUGAGAUGAAGUAUCCAAAUUGUAUCCCAUCCACACUGUCUUAAAAACCCACCAUAUGGGUAAGUAAUCCUCUUUUAUACAAAAUAAAGCAAAGCCCACUGAGACAUACAUGGCUUCUAUUAGGGAUGCCAGGAGCAUCCUUAGUCCCUUCCUGACUCUGAUUUGCUGUUGUUUUCAGAAUAAUUAGUUCCAUCACAAAAGUAAAAGAUUCUGAUUGUAAAAAAUCUCUGAAAGUGAUUUUAAAAUACCCAGAGAUGGAAGCAAAAAGCACAUGAUCAUCUCACCACAUAGAAAUAACAGUUGUUUACCUUCCGACACUGGUGUGUGUGUCUCUGUGUGUGUGUGUGUGUAUGUGUGUAUUAAUACGAUGUGGUUUGGAAAUUUUAUUUGCUUUUGUUUAGCAACAUACCUUAGCAAAUUUCCCAUGUCCAAAUCUUAUUAUUUUCAUCAUCAGUUUUAAUACUUUUCUUCCUCUGUGCUUACCGAUGUUUCUCAGUUACAUGCAAA
Long non-coding RNA from Mus musculus (house mouse), 13509 nucleotides. RefSeq annotates it as predicted gene, 46774. The record is from RefSeq and is a predicted model, not a curated record. Lineage: Eukaryota; Metazoa; Chordata; Mammalia; Rodentia; Muridae. The transcript has 2 exons.